This 253-nucleotide ribosomal RNA is filed under the name uncultured bacterium. RNAcentral describes it as "partial 16S ribosomal RNA". It matches the Rfam family "Bacterial small subunit ribosomal RNA", at positions 524 to 776 of the family's 1533-position model. The record is from RNAcentral.
UACAGAGGGGGCAAGCGUUAUUCGGAAUUACUGGGCGUAAAGGGCUCGUAGGCGGCCAACUAAGUCCGACGUGAAAUCCCAAAGCUUAACUUUGGAACUGCGUCGGAUACUGGAUGGCUUGAAUUCGGGAGAGGGAUGCAGAAUUCCAGGUGUAGCGGUGAAAUGCGUAGAUAUCUGGAGGAAUACCGGUGGCGAAGGCGGCAUCCUGGACCGACAUUGACGCUGAGGAGCGAAAGCUAGGGGAGCAAACGGG